CAUAUCCGACACUGUGAUGUACGAUGAGAAUAUUAUGUUUCAAGUUAUUUCAACGAUAUUCAUGCGAUGGAAAUAUAUUUUUCGCGCGACCGAAUUAUUUUCGUAUGAGUAUUUCGGUUUAAUUUUCUAGGUCACUCCAGUUAGCUAUGUGCUGUUAGAUGAUUAAUUCUAGCCAGCUAUUAUCAAUUCACCAGAAAAUAAAUAAUCCAGUCAGAUAUGUGUUGGUGCCAUGCUAGCACAAUAUGACUACUUAUUUAUGCCCCUAAAAAAGAGCAGUU
Molecule: long non-coding RNA, 278 nt
Filed under: Hordeum vulgare
Lineage: Eukaryota; Viridiplantae; Streptophyta; Magnoliopsida; Poales; Poaceae
Description: long non-coding RNA (HVUL_LNC006582)
Source: RNAcentral